Molecule: microRNA, 22 nt
Filed under: Sus scrofa (pig)
Lineage: Eukaryota; Metazoa; Chordata; Mammalia; Artiodactyla; Suidae
Description: ssc-miR-9819-5p
Source: miRBase by way of RNAcentral
GAGCUCGAUCGUCCGGAUGCUC